GGACUCCACAGAUCAGCAACCAAGAUGUCGAAUAGGAGUCCCACAGCACCACUGAGUUCUCUCCUCCAGGAAGGACUGGAGGCACCAUAAAACAGUGGCCCUAAGUGCCAUUCCAGAGAGAUGGGUCAGGAGGAUACUGUGGUCAGUAGUAUCAAAAGCCACUGAGAGGUCCAGCAAAACCAACAGGGACACAGAUCCCCUAUCCAGUUCCUGUCAUAGGUCAUCUACCAAGGCAACCAAAGCCGUCCCUGUCCCAUAACCAGGCCCAAAGCCAGACUGAAAUGGGUCUAGAUACUCUGUUUCGUCCAGGAACCUCUGGAGCUGAGAGGCUCCAACCAGCUCUCAUACCUUCCCCAAGAAUGGGAUAUUAGAUACUGGUCAGUAAUUAUUCAGUAUACAGUGGUGCCCCGCAUAGCGACAAUAAUCCGUUCCGGAAAAAUCGUCGCUAUCCGAAUUCGUCGCUAUGCGAAAUAAAAAAGCCCAUAGGAAUGCUUUAAAAUACGUUUAAUGCACUCCUAUGGGCUUAAAAUCUCACCUUAUGCGAAAAUCCUCCAUAGGGGCGGCCAUUCCUAUGGUCCAUCGAGUCCAAUACUUGUUAAGGAGGCACAGUGGGGCAUCUACAUGCAUGUUUAAAUCAUUUUUUAAAUUAAAACUUUAAAACACUUACAUUGAAUUGGACAACCAGCUCAUGGAGUGCAGGGGCAUGCAGCCUAUGCCUUUCCAAGUGUUCUUAGAUCUGAAUCCUCUCCUUGCUAACCAUUAGUUGUGCUGGAUGCAGCUGAUGGGAGCUGGAGUUUGCUGAUAUCUGGAAGCCCAGACCUCAGUUGCUCAUCUGCUGGCCAUACCGAAUAUGGUAUACCCCGGCAGUAGCAUUCUGAGAACUACCUGAAAUUAAAAAUGAAAAAGCAUCAUAUUGAAUUCAACAGUCCUGGGAGAACUAGCAUUUUCAUGCCUCACAGGAUUCACUGUAAGAAGAAACACAUCUCCUCUCAACAGUUCAUUUAUUUCUGAGGCUAACAGAGCAUGUCUGAGAAAUAAAAAAAAAAA
RNAcentral lists this long non-coding RNA (1047 nucleotides) under Pogona vitticeps (central bearded dragon). RNAcentral's name for it is "lncRNA (ENSPVIG00000020266.1)". Lineage: Eukaryota; Metazoa; Chordata; Lepidosauria; Squamata; Agamidae. The record is from RNAcentral.